CCCCUCUCAGGAUCCCACCUGAAGAGUUUUUAGUACUCUACCAGUCUCAACUAUGAGAGGGAGAGUAAAGCAGUGGCAUAACCAUUCCAUUCCUAGCUUGGACAGUGGCUAGCAAAUGGAAGGCAAUCUGCUACAAGU
Tachyglossus aculeatus (Australian echidna) is the source of this 138-nucleotide small nucleolar RNA. The record is from RefSeq and is a predicted model, not a curated record. NCBI's taxonomy places the organism in Eukaryota, Metazoa, Chordata, Mammalia, Monotremata, Tachyglossidae.